This is a long non-coding RNA of Contarinia nasturtii (swede midge), 212 nucleotides long. RefSeq lists it as uncharacterized. Lineage: Eukaryota; Metazoa; Arthropoda; Insecta; Diptera; Cecidomyiidae. The transcript is spliced from 3 exons. The record is from RefSeq and is a predicted model, not a curated record.
UCAAUCCAGAUUAGCAUGUAGUCAAUGGCAAAAGCAUUCACAAGGUGUACCGAGUUGUAGCUUUUAUUCAACAGAUAACGAGCGGAAAUCAGAAAACGAAAAUUGUUACAUUGAAUGCGAUCAAGGUCCGUAAUCAGUUGGAUGGCGAGUUUUCUUUAGAUGAUUUCAUAGAUGGUAGCAAAAGAGCCGUUGCAGUUAUCUCCAAUAAAUUG